This 1978-nucleotide ribosomal RNA is filed under the name Escherichia coli. RNAcentral describes it as "partial 23S ribosomal RNA". It matches the Rfam family "Bacterial large subunit ribosomal RNA", at positions 838 to 2798 of the family's 2925-position model. Lineage: Bacteria; Pseudomonadati; Pseudomonadota; Gammaproteobacteria; Enterobacterales; Enterobacteriaceae. The record is from RNAcentral.
CCGGGAGAUAGCUGGUUCUCCCCGAAAGCUAUUUAGGUAGCGCCUCGUGAAUUCAUCUCCGGGGGUAGAGCACUGUUUCGGCAAGGGGGUCAUCCCGACUUACCAACCCGAUGCAAACUGCGAAUACCGGAGAAUGUUAUCACGGGAGACACACGGCGGGUGCUAACGUCCGUCGUGAAGAGGGAAACAACCCAGACCGCCAGCUAAGGUCCCAAAGUCAUGGUUAAGUGGGAAACGAUGUGGGAAGGCCCAGACAGCCAGGAUGUUGGCUUAGAAGCAGCCAUCAUUUAAAGAAAGCGUAAUAGCUCACUGGUCGAGUCGGCCUGCGCGGAAGAUGUAACGGGGCUAAACCAUGCACCGAAGCUGCGGCAGCGACGCUUAUGCGUUGUUGGGUAGGGGAGCGUUCUGUAAGCCUGUGAAGGUGUGCUGUGAGGCAUGCUGGAGGUAUCAGAAGUGCGAAUGCUGACAUAAGUAACGAUAAAGCGGGUGAAAAGCCCGCUCGCCGGAAGACCAAGGGUUCCUGUCCAACGUUAAUCGGGGCAGGGUGAGUCGACCCCUAAGGCGAGGCCGAAAGGCGUAGUCGAUGGGAAACAGGUUAAUAUUCCUGUACUUGGUGUUACUGCGAAGGGGGGACGGAGAAGGCUAUGUUGGCCGGGCGACGGUUGUCCCGGUUUAAGCGUGUAGGCUGGUUUUCCAGGCAAAUCCGGAAAAUCAAGGCUGAGGCGUGAUGACGAGGCACUACGGUGCUGAAGCAACAAAUGCCCUGCUUCCAGGAAAAGCCUCUAAGCAUCAGGUAACAUCAAAUCGUACCCCAAACCGACACAGGUGGUCAGGUAGAGAAUACCAAGGCGCUUGAGAGAACUCGGGUGAAGGAACUAGGCAAAAUGGUGCCGUAACUUCGGGAGAAGGCACGCUGAUAUGUAGGUGAAGUCCCUCGCGGAUGGAGCUGAAAUCAGUCGAAGAUACCAGCUGGCUGCAACUGUUUAUUAAAAACACAGCACUGUGCAAACACGAAAGUGGACGUAUACGGUGUGACGCCUGCCCGGUGCCGGAAGGUUAAUUGAUGGGGUCAGCGCAAGCGAAGCUCUUGAUCGAAGCCCCGGUAAACGGCGGCCGUAACUAUAACGGUCCUAAGGUAGCGAAAUUCCUUGUCGGGUAAGUUCCGACCUGCACGAAUGGCGUAAUGAUGGCCAGGCUGUCUCCACCCGAGACUCAGUGAAAUUGAACUCGCUGUGAAGAUGCAGUGUACCCGCGGCAAGACGGAAAGACCCCGUGAACCUUUACUAUAGCUUGACACUGAACAUUGAGCCUUGAUGUGUAGGAUAGGUGGGAGGCUUAGAAGUGUGGACGCCAGUCUGCAUGGAGCCGACCUUGAAAUACCACCCUUUAAUGUUUGAUGUUCUAACGUUGACCCGUAAUCCGGGUUGCGGACAGUGUCUGGUGGGUAGUUUGACUGGGGCGGUCUCCUCCUAAAGAGUAACGGAGGAGCACGAAGGUUGGCUAAUCCUGGUCGGACAUCAGGAGGUUAGUGCAAUGGCAUAAGCCAGCUUGACUGCGAGCGUGACGGCGCGAGCAGGUGCGAAAGCAGGUCAUAGUGAUCCGGUGGUUCUGAAUGGAAGGGCCAUCGCUCAACGGAUAAAAGGUACUCCGGGGAUAACAGGCUGAUACCGCCCAAGAGUUCAUAUCGACGGCGGUGUUUGGCACCUCGAUGUCGGCUCAUCACAUCCUGGGGCUGAAGUAGGUCCCAAGGGUAUGGCUGUUCGCCAUUUAAAGUGGUACGCGAGCUGGGUUUAGAACGUCGUGAGACAGUUCGGUCCCUAUCUGCCGUGGGCGCUGGAGAACUGAGGGGGGCUGCUCCUAGUACGAGAGGACCGGAGUGGACGCAUCACUGGUGUUCGGGUUGUCAUGCCAAUGGCACUGCCCGGUAGCUAAAUGCGGAAGAGAUAAGUGCUGAAAGCAUCUAAGCACGAAACUUGCC